Molecule: long non-coding RNA, 756 nt
Organism: Ananas comosus (pineapple)
Lineage: Eukaryota; Viridiplantae; Streptophyta; Magnoliopsida; Poales; Bromeliaceae
Exons: 4
Source: RefSeq, a predicted model, not a curated record
ACUUCUCUUUCCCUCUUUCUCUCUCUAGGUUUUCCAUUUUGAAGUGGAAAACUAGUGGAUUUGAGUUUAAUUCUUCCUCAUCUUUAUUUGCUAGCUGGUUGGAAGGCUUGGAGCUGUGUUUUGCUGUUGGAGAGAAGAGUUUGGGAGGUAUUUCGCAGCUCUAGUACGGUAGGAAGCCGAGUUGCAUCUUGGUAAGAUGAGAAUACCAUUUCUCUCUCUAGUUUGAUGCUAGUAGUGGAUAUACGCUUGGUUCUUUGCUUUUGGAUUACCAGCUGGUUUGGGGAGGUUGUAGCAACCAUAGAAGGUGUAUUUUGCUAUGGUUCUUCAACUUUAAUCUAAGGAAAAAGCUGAAUUAAAGCUAUUGGAAGCAGGUUCCGAGCAGGGGAGUGAACUCCUUUGAGCUGAGUUUAGUGACUCUUGUGAGCUGAUUUUGAUGUGCUUCAGCCUGAGUUGGAGCCGUGCAAGGGUACUUGGAGGCUUCGGAUUACCUUCGUACGCGGAAUCAUCGAGAGUUGUCGACUAAUUGAGCCUUCCACAGCGGGAAAGGCUAGGGUUCCUGACGAGAGGUUAGCGGCUAGUUAGAACCUUCUCGAUGUUAAAUAGAUGAAACCGUACCAGCUGUUCUAGUUGAGUUCAGUGUUGUAUAGUGGUACUAUGUAGAAUGUACUUUGUACUUUGCUUCUAGGCUAUAUUAAAGUUUUGUAUUUGUAUAAGCUUAUAAACUUUUAAGUUUUUGCUCUGAUUACUUGGUUAGAA